AAGAAGGAUCCAAAAUUUGGGAGAUGAGUUAGAAAGAGAUCUAGAUUACGUAUAUCUCAUAUCUUCUACUUUUUCAAUGGCCUUUUGAAACCCUAAACCCAUGGCCGUUUCUAGCUGCCCUACCGCUUUCCCACCAUUCGAGUGUCGUUCUCUGGCCUUCCACCAAAGCUCAUUUCUCUUCCAAACCCGGCGUCGCUUCCUUUACCGGCCGGUUCUUCCGCCUAAUCGCCAUGGUCUUUCAUCUCUCAUCUUCAGGUGUCCUCCCAACAUUGUUUGUCAGGCAACUUAGCAUCAAAGCUCGUAGAAAUUGCAGCAACAUUGGUGUCGCACAAGUCGUUGCUGCUUCUUGGUCUUCAUCUCCGCUCAAAUCUGUCCGAUGCAGCUGCUGCUUCUACUGCUCCUGCUGCUGUAUUGACUGGCGACGACGACGACGAGGUGAAAGACUAGGUCGCGGCAUUGUUACUGAUGCAAUAACCACUCCUGUAGUCAAUACAUCUGCCUACUUCUUUUUCAAGAAAACUUCUGACCUCAUUGAUUUCAAGGGAGAAGCGCAGUAAAAGUUUUGAAUGUGGGCGUUAUGGAAACCCAACUACUGUGGUUGUAGAAGAGAAAUUGAGAGUUGAGAAUUGUGAGGAGAACGAAGAUGAAGAAUCUGAAAAUAAAGAUGAUGAUAAAGAAGUUGAGAAUGAAGAUGAUCAAAGAGGAUGAAGAUGAUGAUCGAAGAAAUACACAUUUUGAAAUUAAUGAUGAUGCACUACGGAGCGGAAAAAGACAUCUAUCUAUGUCUUGGAAGUAUAAAAAUAUUUAUGAAUGUGACAUCCGUAUGGACAAAUUAAGAUCGAAAAGAUUUAAAUUUUUUUUUUGAUUGUAAACUUAUUUGAUACUUAUUUUUGUAAUCUAUUAUGGAUACUCUUAUUUGA
This is an RNA transcript of Impatiens glandulifera, 920 nucleotides long. It is a transcript of the gene named cystathionine gamma-synthase 1, chloroplastic-like, with no coding region annotated. The transcript is spliced from 4 exons. The record is from RefSeq and is a predicted model, not a curated record. NCBI's taxonomy places the organism in Eukaryota, Viridiplantae, Streptophyta, Magnoliopsida, Ericales, Balsaminaceae.